UGAAAAGAUAUAAUGGAUGCAUCAGAUGUGGCUUUGGUUGUAAUUGGACCUGGUAGUAUUGAUCAGGCAAGAGCAUUUACUAAGCAAACAAAAUUCAAAGGAGAAGUUUAUGUCGACCUGACCCACUUGUUGUAUGAGGCUUUACA
Molecule: long non-coding RNA, 146 nt
Organism: Juglans microcarpa x Juglans regia
Lineage: Eukaryota; Viridiplantae; Streptophyta; Magnoliopsida; Fagales; Juglandaceae
Exons: 3
Source: RefSeq, a predicted model, not a curated record